RNAcentral lists this ribosomal RNA (983 nucleotides) under Candidatus Dadabacteria bacterium. RNAcentral describes it as "partial 23S ribosomal RNA". It matches the Rfam family "Bacterial large subunit ribosomal RNA", at positions 1942 to 2925 of the family's 2925-position model. The record is from RNAcentral. Lineage: Bacteria; Pseudomonadati; Thermodesulfobacteriota; Candidatus Dadabacteria.
AUAACGGUCCUAAGGUAGCGAAAUUCCUUGUCGGGUAAGUUCCGACCUGCAUGAAAGGAGUAACGAUUGCCGCACUGUCUCGGCCAAAGACUCAGCGAAAUUGUGGUUCCGGUGAAGACGCCGGAUACCCGCUACGGGACGGAAAGACCCCGUGCACCUUUACUAUAACUUAGCAUUGAGUUUUGGUGCUGCAUGCGUAGGAUAGGUGGGAGCCUGUGAAACUUCGCUUCAGGGCGGAGUGGAGGCAAUGGUGAAAUACCACCCUUGUAGUUCUGAAAUUCUAACUUAGGUCCGUUAUCCGGAUCAAGGACAAUGUUAGGCGGGUAGUUUGACUGGGGCGGUCACCUCCUAAAAGGUAACGGAGGUGUGCAAAGGUUCCCUCAGCUUGAUUGGAAACCAAGCGCAGAGUGCAAAGGCAUAAGGGAGCUUGACUGUGAGACUGACAGGUCGAGCAGGUGCGAAAGCAGGUCUUAGUGACCCGGUGGUUCUGUGUGGAAAGGCCAUCGAUCAACGGAUAAAAGGUACGCCGGGGAUAACAGACUUAUCUCCCCCAAGAGUUCACAUCGACGGGGAGGUUUGGUACCUCGAUGUCGGCUCAUCGCAUCCUGGGGCUGGAGAAGGUCCCAAGGGUUGGGCUGUUCGCCCAUUAAAGCGGUACGCGAGCUGGGUUUAGAACGUCGUGAGACAGUUCGGUCCCUAUCUGUAGCGGGCGAAGGAGAUUUGAGAGGAUCUGCUCAUAGUACGAGAGGACCUGAGUGGACGAGCCUCUAGUGUACCAGUUGUCGUGCCAACGGCAGUGCUGGGUAGCUAUGCUCGGAAAGGAUAACCGCUGAAAGCAUCUAAGCGGGAAACCUGCCUCAAGAUUAGAUCUCCCGAACGUAAGUUCCUAAAGGUCCCUUGAAGAUUACGAGGUUGAUAGGCUCAAGGUGUAAGUCCUGUGAGGGAUUAAGCUGAUGAGUACUAACCGACCGUGAGGCUUACUG